UACGUAGGUGGCAAGCGUUGUCCGGAUUUAUUGGGUUUAAAGGGUGCGUAGGCGGCUUAUUAAGUCAGUGGUGAAAGACGGUAGCUUAACUAUCGAGGUGCCAUUGAUACUGAUGAGCUUGAGUACUGAUGAGGUAGGCGGAAUGGACGGUGUAGCGGUGAAAUGCAUAGAUAUCGUCGAGAACACCGAUAGCGAAGGCAGCUUACUAAGGAGUAACUGACGCUGGGGCGCGAAAGGGUGGGGAUCAAACAGG
Molecule: ribosomal RNA, 253 nt
Filed under: uncultured bacterium
Lineage: Bacteria
Description: partial 16S ribosomal RNA
Rfam family: Bacterial small subunit ribosomal RNA
Source: RNAcentral